GUCUGUACUAUUACGCGUAAUAGCUCUGUAUCUGGGCGGCUUGAGAAGGAGCUGACGAGCUCGGACUUCUCCCCCGCCACCCUGGGGGACGCCUCAGGGAU
Dipodomys ordii (Ord's kangaroo rat) is the source of this 101-nucleotide non-coding RNA. The record is from Rfam. Lineage: Eukaryota; Metazoa; Chordata; Mammalia; Rodentia; Heteromyidae.